RNAcentral lists this long non-coding RNA (16819 nucleotides) under Malus domestica (apple). Its description in RNAcentral is "long non-coding RNA (MDOM_LNC011874)". Lineage: Eukaryota; Viridiplantae; Streptophyta; Magnoliopsida; Rosales; Rosaceae. The record is from RNAcentral.
CAAGUUCUACUGCCUAAUCUGAGAGAUCCCAAAACAAGUAUAAAACACCUAUUAUAUAAAUAAAAAUAAAACGAUUACCUAAUGAUAUAGCAUAUAUGCAUAAGUUACAUGAAUUGUACAAAAUACUAGUAAGCAAUCCACAUACACUUGAAUCCCCAUAAUAGUAGCCUCAUGCCCCAAAAAAUACAUCAGAUAUCAUUACAAGCUUUCACAUUCUGCCUACACUAUGUUUGGCCUUUAAUCUUGUGUUCAAAAGGAGAUGUCAAUAUUACCAAAAAGAUAUGAAACCCAUGCACUCCAACCUACAAGAAAAUAAAAACAUGUCAACAAAAGGAAAGAAAAUUACAAACUUAAUUAGUAUUUUUAUGGGGAAAAAUCAACAAAAAUAUAUGUACCUUAAUGUGUUCUUUACACAUCUAAGCUAUUAUUAACAAAAAGUUUCUUUGGCAAAUCAUUAUGCUCAUCACACCUAUAAACAAUGAACAUUAAGUUAUACGUAUAUAUAAAUAAUCAUGACCAUAGUAGACAAUAUUAAAAGAUAAAUAAAAAAAUGACAUACCCGUCGAGCACGUUUCUGAGCCUUCUCCACUAUUUCAAACUUUGAAGGACCAUGCUUUGUAGAGCUUGAUUCUUUUCUAUUUUUAGAACCCAUUGGACGACCUUUGUGAGGUUUAACAUUAGGCUCAAGAGUUAAUGGAAGAGAAGUAUCAAUAAAUUCACAAAGUUGCCUUUUGGUAUCCUCUUUUUGAGUAAGAGUCAACUUUUCAUACUUAUCUUUAAACUCCAAUAGAAGGCCGCUUAUUUGAUCUUGUUCAUUGUCCAAGCUUACAUGAUGAUCAUUGACAAACAAUCUUCUAUCAAUCCUCCAUUGUGGAUGUAUGUCAUUUAGUUGCAAGACUUCAAUAUUCAUCUCUCUAAUCAUGUGAGCACAAGGAAGACCCAUUGUCUUGAGAAAAUGACCCUUACAUUGACAUGGAAGAUCAGAAGAACUUGAUGCUUCAUAUUGAUUAUAUAACUCAUUCAAUGCAAAUCUAGAUACAUGAGUAACAACCUCUUUGAAGAAGGGAAGUCGAAACUUGUGUGAAACUCUAACUUUUUCACUUGAAUGUUGAGUUUUGAUUCUUGAAAUUGAUUUUCAAUAGCAAGGCAUAUUUUUUCUUUUACCUCGCGAAGACCUCCAGUUGAAACUUGAAGAUAUUUUUUUAGCGUUGCAUGUGCACCUUCGGCUCUUGAAGUAACACGGUUACCAAAGUGGGUAACUUUCUCUGACCAUGCACUUACAAACUUUUCUUUGUAUGGAAGCCAAGUACCAAGAAUAUAUUUCAAAACAAAUUUCUUCUCCUCGUACUUAACUUCAAAACGACUCCAAGCUUCAUUGAAUGAUGUUUCAUUAGGAGAUUGGAUUAAAAUUGUCCAAGUAGAAAUGAAAUCAAUCCAAUCAACUUCUUCCUCAAAAUGAGCUUUACAAUUUGCAAGUAUAUUUUUCUCAAUAUGCCACACGCACAAAAGAUUGGAAGUACUCGGAAAGACAAUGCGUAUAGCAUUCAUUAAUGCCAACUCCCUAUCUGUUAUAAUCACCAUAAGAUGAUUAUCAACUCCCAAAAUCUUACUAAACAUUUUUAGAGCCCACACAUAAUCCUCUUCUUUCUCAUUUUGCAUGAAAACAAAACAAGAAUAAAAGGAUGUGUUGAAACUUGAAACUCCUAUGAUAUCCAAUAAUGGCAUCUUAUACUUGUUGGUCUUAUAUGUGCAAUCCAUCACAAAAACAUAUGGGUAGCUCUUGGUCAACUCUAUAGACAAGGGAUGAGCAAAGAUCAAAUGAGUUAAGUGGCCUUCAUGAUCAUACUCAAUGUUAUAAGUGAAACCACCUUCACCAAGUUCUUCUAAUAAUGCUUGAAUAACUGGACGCCCAGCUAGACUCUCCUUCACAAUCUUAGCUCUUAGAUUAUAGAUGUUUCGAGAAACUACUUGAAGAUGAGGAUUGCCUUGCCGAAGCAAAGAUAGAAUUUGGCGUGGUGGUAUACCAGCCUUACUCAUUUCUUUAAUUCGUAAGAUUUCCUCUUGUGAAAAUUGACGACAAGAAGGAUGUCCACACAUGUCAUUUGAAAGUUCAUGGUUAUGCAAUAAACUUUUUAUCUCUAGCUUCCAAAAUUCUUCACAUUUCUUUUUACGCCCCUUGAUUUCAAAUGGACAAUUUAUGAGGCGAGAUCCUGAGUUUUUUUUUCUUUCAUCUAGUGAAGUUUUAGAGGCUCGAUAAUACCCACCUCUAUCACAACCAAUAGCAACAUAUGUAUUUGUCUUAGAUCUUCUAAUAACGGUUGCAAACCCUUGCAUUAAUGCUAUCUUACGAACUUCCCCGAUGAGGUCUUCUCGACUUUCAAAACAUUUCGCCAACAAAGAGAGCAUUUUAUCGGGCUCAUCAAUCGUUGGUUGACUUCCUAUAUAUCACAAACCAACACAUUUAUAUAUGUAGAAUAUAUACUUUUUAUCAAUGGACUAGACAUUUAAGUAUCAAAUUUAUACCAAAGCAUUGUAUGCAUUAUAUCAAGUUUACACCAAAACAUGGAGCCUAGGUAAAACCACAACAAUUAAACCUAAUACCAAUUUACCAUUAAGUUAAAGUGUAUUGGGGACCAAUAGAUUCCAAUAGAAAAUUAAUUUCCCCAAAACCAACACAAAUCGAUAUUCUCUAUUAUUUCCGUUUUUAUGAGUACAGAGUUGACACCAGUUUUUGUUUUGGGCAAAAGUACAUUUUUGCUCCAGUUUUUAUAAACCCCAACAGAAACCAAUAGUUAAAGUACAUUUUUGCUCCAGUUUUUAUGAGGAAUAGGUAAUUUUUUGCUUCAUUUGAAGUUCAAGUGUUUGGAUUACAGAGUUGACACCGAGAUUUUGUUUUGGGCAAAAGACACCAAGAAUUUAAGUUAGAGAUUUCAAACAAAAAAAAUAUAUCAAUCAUACUUUUUAUCUCGUCUGUUCAUUUUCAAUCUAACGGUUCUUAUCUAGAUGUGUAAAUAGCAUGUGUACCGUGUACAUGAGAGAAAAAUAUGUUAUAGAGCAUUGCCCGGUGCAUUCAAGUAAGCAUGGUAGUUUUUAAUCUUUUGCUCCUUAGUCUCUGAGCAUUGCCUAAUUUUUUGUUAUUCUUGUAAAAAAAAUUCUGAUGUCAAAAACAUUUACAAACUUAGUUUCGUGAUUUUUUGUUUACUUGACGCAUUUUUCUAAAUUUCUUCCCCUGGAUUUAGUUACUUCAUUGUUACAUGAUACAUUUAUCUUAAACCACCAGUAUUCAUUCAUUCAAUUAUCAUUUGAACCACAAAUUAGGGAAAGAAAAAACUAAACCUAAAAAACAAAUUGAGGCAAGAAGAGAACAAAAACCCUAAAUUCCAAAAUCAAUCUUAAUAAUUUGAGAAAAUACUUUAGAAAAUUACCAUCAAAAGUGUUAAGAGGAGGAAUGCAUUCUGAAAUUUCUUCCAUGCCAUCCUCCUUGCAUGCCAUAUCCAAUAUCUUCUGCAACUCAAUGUCCAUCUGGAGUUCUUUAUCUGUUAUUAUCAAGUCAUCCAUUGUGGUUUUUCACAAGAAGUAAUAAAGAGGACAGGGGAACGGAAAUAUUUCAGAAUAGGUCUCGUUGGGCUCGGCGGAGGGAGUGGGAGGCUUCGAAGAAGCAGUGGAAAUAUUUGCAGCGGCGAGGGAAUCGGGCUGCGAGAGGUGUCUGGGUUUGGGGAAAAAGCAGGAGGUGUCUGGGUUUUGGGGAAGAAGCAGGAGAAAGCAAGGGAAAAAGCAGGGGAGUUUCAAGUAAAUAAAAAAAAAAAACAACUUUUAAAAGUCAAAAAGUAAAAAGGGUAUAUAUGGAAGAGUAAAUAGUAAGAUAUCAAUUAAGUAUUAAAAAAAUAAGAAAUGGUGUGGGAAAGGUAAUUAAGGGUGUGUGAAAAUCACAACCCUAUCUAUAUACUAAAACCCGGUGGAAAAGCACUGUUUACCAGCAGUAAAAUGGCGGAAUUGCCCUCAUUCAACUUUCCUUGCCCCGUUGUUUUUCAGUCUUGGCAUAGUGAAAUUACGCAUUUGUCCAAGUUGGCCACGCGUCCAUCAUCGUCUGAACCUCUACUUCGACUGCAGCUUCUCGAUUUUUCCAUCCGUUUCCAGUUCUCUCUUUCGCAAAUCUCUGCUUCCUUUGCUCUCAACUUGCCUUCUGUCACUCUCAAACGCCGGGUAAGCUAUCGACCACCCCCUCUCUACCUUCUUCUUCUUUCGCUUCUCCCUGUGCAAAUCUGAGAGACGCCUACCACAACUGCUUCACUGGGUUAUCUCAACAUAAAAUUAGUUUUUGUUAUUGCUCUUAAACCCUAAUCUCUCUCUCGCCUCUCUCUAAAAUCCAUCUGAAAAAGGUAUAAUGGGUAGUGUUUAUGUUUGCAGUUUGUACUCGGCAAAGUCUGUGAAGGACCAAUAUCGGAGGUAUAAAUUGGCUGCCCUGAAAUUUUUUUAUUUAAUUAAUUUCAACAGGUAUCUAAGAAUUCUUAGUAUGAAUAGUGUCUGUGUUGUGUCUCUGAGCAUCUUGAUUUUUUAUAUUAAAUGAUCUCUGUAGUGUCUGUAUAUUUCUUAUAUGAUUUCUUUCAUUCAUUGUUUCCUAUAUCCGAAUUUAAAUCUAUUUAAUUUUUUUAAUUGAUCUGGGAUGUUGAGAAAUUGGAGCUCUUCUGGGGUCAGAUCCAUUUUGAUUUGGGGAUCUGAUGCGAAGAAAAUGAAAUAAAAUUUGGGUUUUGGAUUGAUGUGGUAUUUGGUUUUAUUUCCUGUUGUCAGUGCUUACCACCUGUUUGAGAUUAUAUAUAUGUUUUGAAUUUUUUUUGGUUUGUCAUGUAUAAGAAUGUGAAAUAGACUAUCUGAGGUAAUCAAUUGUGAUUGGUGACUUAUUUUUUUCUUUCUAUUUAUUUAUAUUGGGAUUGGUUACUUUUUUGUUUGUUUUUUUUUUUUCCAGAUUAGAGAUUUUAAUAGGUCCUGGUAGUGAUAAAGGCUCAUUUCUCAAAAAAGAGAUAAUAAAUAAAAGUGGCAGAAAUAUAUAUUUAUAUAUACAUAUAGAUGGCUGUGGUAGUAAGUAAUGAAGGUUCAAUGUAAAAGUCAGAGGUCAGAACUGGCAGAAAAAAAAAGUAAAAUAUAUUGGCUAGGACAGAAAAGAAGUGAUAGGUCAUGAUGUGACACUGUUUAUGAACAGUCACCUUCCGUCCUUUUUUUUAUAUCUUUUUCGGAAACUCAGUAGAGCAGAAAAAAAAGAUAAUAAAUGCGAAGUGCAAGGUGGGAGAAAAAAAAAUGUACAUAUACUUAUAUUGGGUAGAGCAGACCACGUGUUGAUCAUCGGUAGUGUUUCUGUUGUUGAGAGGAUUUUACCCUUUUUGUUUCGUUUUCACUCCUCUCUUUGUUCACUUUUUCCAUUCGUUUUUCUGCUUCUAUCUUUUGCCUAUUUUUCUUAAUUUUGUAUUUAGAGAUAGGCCUUUUGUUUGAAUUUGGGUUUAGUUGAUUUUGAAGGUUUCAAGUUGGUUGCCCUUUUUUGUUUUUAAUUUUGUAUUUAAAGUUAGGUUUUUUGUUUGAAUUUGGGUUUAGCUGAUUUUGAAGGUUUAGAGUUAACUAUUUCCUUUGGAUUUUUUAUGGGGGUGAGACUUAUAGAUUAGUAGGGUUUUCUUUUUGUGUUGGGAUUCUAAGUGACUAUGUGGUUUGAUUCUCAUUUUAUUUUUACGUAACGGUGUUUUGUGUUUUUUUUUUUGUUUGUUUUUGUUUGUGUCGUGGUUGUAAUUAUGAGUGUAUGAUUUAGUUGUGUUUUGUAUUUUCAGGAAACGGUGAUGUUCGUUCUCCCAGCUAUUGUGUUCGCAUUUACAUGCUGGUUGUGCUUCAGGUAUGUCCUUUUUCUCUCAUUUAUUUUGAUAUAUAUCUAAUAUCCAUCUAACUGUAUUAUUUUAUUUCUUUUCCCUAGCUUGCUUGCUUAUGGAUGAACGAUGCGGUGCCAAAACUCUAUCUCCAAUAGUGAAACGCAUUAACCGUUUUUUGUUAUUUUGUAUCAAACAAUAUUGAUAAUAUUUGCCUGCCAUGUAAAUGUCUCUUUGGUCUGAACUUCAUAAUAUUUUUUGCAUGUAUACCAGCAUUCAUUAAUUUUUUGUAUAUAAAUGCUGGUUCCACUUGAGAGGUAGAUGCAAGUGGUAGAAUCCAAUCAAUCACUAUAUUGUUUUUUGUCUAUCUGUAAACAGGUUUCAAUCUUUUGUUUUAGGAUUGUACAAGUUUAAUAUUUUAUGUAUAAACAACUUCCAACAUCUUUGUUUACGGUGAUGUAAAUAUUUUGUGAUCUACUUUUUAUAUCUCUUCAACAGAGCGUUGCAUUGAAUUUCCACAAUUACACUCUUUUAGAACUCAGUUUGGAGCAACAUUCGGUAAGCCUUUCUUUUACAGUCAGUUUCAUUUGUUUAUAUUUGAAUCAACAAAUUUUUUACAAAUAAUGAUUCUUCCAACUGCUCAUAAAUUGAUUCUUUUAUUUUUCUUGCAACUUCAAGCGUUGAUCUAUUGGAAACAAACUUUUAUCUAUUCCUUGAGUUACGUAGAGUUGUAAAUAAAUUGAGUUAAGCAAAGUUUCAAAUAUAACUUUCUACAUGUUGUAUGCCUAUUUAAAUACCCGCAGCAUCGCGGGGGUGCCAAUGCUAGUAUUAUACUACUUUGUAUUCCAAAUACACAUAAGAAUAUAUCCAUUCUAGUGAAUGGCCUAAUUCCAAUUAAUCUCACCUUUGCUUUCUCUCAAACCCGUCAACUUAUCUUUGACUUUGUUUUUCAACAUACAUUCAUCGUUAGGUACAACCAUAGAAGUUUCGCACUCCAAAACACUACUCAUAAAAUAAUCACCGACCUUCUGUAUGAAGCGAAGUUGAUUAAGACAUCAGCAGUAGGAUGUGCGGCGCAUGAUGCUUCAAUGCUGUAACAGUUAUCAACCCAAAGGUUAAACAAUCUCGAAACAACAGAUCAAGAAUGGUAAUCUGACUAAUAACAUGAUUUGAAUAUAUUGGAUAUGGAAAAUUAAGAUUAACCAAGCAUACAUGCAUAUACAUAAAUAUACAAAAGGUGGCUUGCAGCCACGAAAGUCGAAAUCUAGGAAGAGGAUGAGAGAAUGGCGACUUACUUUGAGUGCACUGGUAUGGUGAUUUCCUCUUAACUGAAAAAUAGCUUUUGAAAUCCCUCAGAACCGGGGUUAAUGAUUCCAGCAACUGAUGGUGUCUCCCUCCCUAUUACAAACCUCAGUUAUUACAUUUACAUCUUUGUCAAAAACUAAAAACUAUAAGUAAGAUUAAGUUCGAAGUCAAAAUUAGGAAAUGAUGCAUACCACAAAGGAAGUCAAAAUCGAGUUAGAAGCACCUGAUAUAUCUUGCCAGUGGUAAUGUUGUUACCCCUAGUAAGAGUCACAUCUAGGAAGCGUUCAUAGUUGCCCAGGUCCAAAUCAACCUACAAUUACGGUUAGAGUUUAACAAACUCAGCAGCACAUAAAGUUUAAAGAUAAGACUAACACUCAACAUGAUACCAAGAUAGAAUCCAAAAAUAAAUGAAAGAUAUGAUUAAAAUUAUUUGUUCUAAUCGAACAUAUUUUCUAGUUUUCUUAUCCGAUUAUACAAUUGCAAUUCCAAAAAUAAAAAAUAAUUUGCAGAAAGAAAAUUAGAAAAUUCAAACUUGAUAACAGUCUACCUUAAGAAACCCCAUGACCGAGUCCGAAUUGUACACCCGUGCCCUGCAAUGUCUUGGUGAGUGACUCCUGCUACAAAUUGGCACGAUGCUCAUUGUCUUGUAAAUCUGCAAGCAAAAUAUACAUAUUGUUAGGAAAAAAGUGUCUAUAUAUCAAAAUGUAUAGUAUGUAAGUUUUUAAUUGCAGAUGUAUGCAAGCUACAACCUGUUGUUAAAUUUUGCAGAACAUCUUUGUAAACUAUAUUUUUUGUAAAUGUAUUUGGCAUUUCAUUGUUGUUAGUAAUUAAAACUUUGAGACCCUCUCUUGAUAUGACUCUAGAUAAUGCAACAUAUAAUUGACCAUGAGUGAAGAUAGGUUGUGGUAAAUAGAGUCCCACUUGUUUCAAUGAUUGUCCCUGACUUUUGUUAAUUGUCAUUGCAUAACAUGGUCUUAUUGGAAAUUGACGUCUUUUAAGUACAAAAGGCCAUUUGUUUUCAGUUGCUGUCAAGAUUAUUUAAGGAAUGAAAACUUUGUAAUUAAUGUUGCUGCCAGCAAGUAUUCUAGCUUCAAUAAUUCUAUCAAAUAAUUGAGUCACAACCAAUCUUGUUCCAUUACACAAACCUAAAGAUUGGUUUAAGUUUCGGAGCAACAUAAUAGGCAUUCCAAUCUUUAAAAUUAAGUUGUGCGAAGGCAAGCCAUUGAAAUCAAGUGUGUUGAGAAAUUCUGUAGGAUACAUUAUACUAAGAUUCUCAAAAUUUCCAGUAGAUGAGUAUAAAGAAUCAGAGCUUAAAUAAACGUGUUUUUGACCAAGUAACAAAUCUAUUGCAUAAUCAUUUAUCUCCACUACAAUAUCAUUUUUUGGUGUAACAAUAGCUCGCUCUCGUAAAUAUUCAAAACUGGCAAAAUUAUUUUCAAAGUCUGGAUAAGUUGCUGAAAAAAUAGAAUGAAUAGGAUCAGAGUAUGAAUGAAUGAGUAAAUCAUCUGGAAUUUCAAUCCAACAUGUAUCUUUAUCAUUUGAAUCAAGUGUAUCUCCAAUUUGGCCAUCACCUAUCUGUAAAAUCCAAGAUGCAAAAUUAGCAAGUUUUUUCUUUUGAUCAUUAUUUAAUCCCUUUUGUGAAAGCCUCAUAUUUUCCUUCAACUGAAAUACUUUGAAAAAAGGCCAUAAAUAAGAGUUAUUUAAAGAGGCAUCUAUUAUCUGUUCUUUUGUUCCACCAGGAAUAACUGGUAAAAUUUGUCUAAAGUCACCGCCUAAUAAAAAAGGUUUGCCACCAAAUGGAGCAUUUUUAUUUGAAUCAUUUGAAUGUGAAAAAAUAUCAGAAAGUGACUUGUCUAAUGCUUCAAAACAAUGCUUAUGAUUCAUAGGAGCUUCAUCCCAAAUAAUAAGAUCUGUUUUUUCAAUUAAUUUAGCAAGAUGAGUCCCUUUCUUAAUUUGACAUGUUGAGCAAUUUGUAACUAUGAGAGGAAUUUUGAAUCUGGAGUGAGCAGUUCUACCACCUAGUAAAAGUAAUGAAGCUAUUCCAGAUGAAGCAACUGCUAAAACAAUUUUACCCUCAGACCUGAUUUUACUUAUUAUUGUAUGCCAUAAAAAUGUUUUUCCAGUUCCUCCAUGGCCAUAAACAAAAAAGAGACCUGACCUUUUUUCAUUCACAAUACUAAUAACACAAUCAUAGACAAAUUUUUGGGUUUCAUUAAGCUGUGUUACCAAAACAGAAUGUUCUCGACUUAAAUCAUCACAAUUGUAAUUUAAUUCUUCCCUCAACAAUUUGUUUCUAAUUUCUGACAUUUUUCUUUCAUCAGGCAUAGGCAAAUUAUGAUCUUUUAAAGAGCUAGAUGAUGCAUUAAAUAGUUGCUCUAAUUCAAAUAGAAGAGAGUUUUUUAAUUCCAAUUCUGAUAAAUUCAGAGUUGACAUUGCAAAAGAUUUUCGAAGCUCAUACAAAAUGUCAUCACACAUAUAUUGCCAAUGACUAUUAAAAAGCUGUUGAGGAUUUGCUAUUUCACAAAAUAAAAUCAUUGUAACAAAUAAUUGUCUCAACUCGCGAGAUGUUGCAAUAUUAACUGCAUUUCCUAAAGCUUCAAUCCACUCUUUGUCAUCCCCUAGUAAACUCAAACAUUUACAUGCAGCUUGAUACGAUGGUUGAAUAAUGCCGUUCACAGUUCUAAUGUCAUCAAAAUUGAGAACACCUUUUUUAAUAUUAAGAAGCAUUCUUAAAUAGUAUAACUCACCUGAUGCAGGAUGCACGUAGGCAAUUCUGCCUAUGGAUCCUCCUUUUCUUUUCAUAGGCUUCCAAAUCUUAUGUCGAGAUUCCCAAACAAACUUUGAUGGCAAUUCUGCAUAAGUUAGUGUUCGCGCUUCAAGAAAAAAUUUAUUUAUUUCAAACCAACUUGUCAACAUUGUGUGUUCAGAAGCUUCUUGACUAACAAUUGAUUCAAGGGAUUGAUUACUAUUGAAAACAAUAGUUUGUUCCAAAGGAAGAUGUACUGGCAAUCAUUCAACAUGAGGUUCUCUCAUAUGAAUUGGAUACUCAAACAAUCUCCAAACAGCUUCGUAUGGAGAUAUAUAUCUACAAUUUAGAUAAGCACGUAUUUCAUUGUUUGAAUUCUCUUCAAAAACAAUUCUUGCUCGAUCUGAACCUUUGUUUAUGUAUUUGAAAAGAUAUUUUAUAAGUAUUGAUUGGCAACAUGACUCAACAUUUAUAUGAGCAUUGUAUCUCAAUAAUAAAUUUGAAUUGUAAGGUACAACAAAACCAUUAUCUAUUUGCAUCCCAUUUUUAACCAUAAAUUUUGACUAAUCAUCACGACGCCUAUACAUAGGAAAAAUAUUUGUUUCAAAAAUUGUUUCACUUUUGUAUUGCUUUGGGAAAAACUUAGAACAUUUUCCCUCUCGCAUGCAUGGAGACUUUUGAUUAAGUUGUCCGCAAGGACCAUGAAUCAUGAAUUGGUUCACAAUUUCAUAAAGGAGAGGAUCUGAAUUUUUAUUUGGUAUUUCAGUUGAAAUGAUGGAAUCUAUGUCAUCAGCAGAGUAGCAUUUGUAAGGCUUCUUUAACCAAAUUAAGAUGUGAGCGUGAGGCAACCCUCUUUCUGAAACUCGAUUGUACAAACAUCUGUUUGCAAUCAAGUUAGGAAAUAUAUAAAUCAUAGUCAGUUUCAUUGUAAAGAUAAAAUGAAAGAAACUGAGAAAAAAAAAAAAUUUAAACUCACCUGCUUCAACUUCUCCAAAAGGUUCUCCUGAUUUUAUGUAGCUAAUCAUAUCAUCAAGUUUCAUCUUAAAAACCCUAGAAAUGAUAUACGGUCUAUCCUCUAACUUGUAUCCAAGUUUUAUAUCAAAUUCUCUCACAAUUUCAGGCCAUUUGAUAUUGCAAGUGAAGGUUAUGAACAAAUCAGGAUUACCAAAUUGUCUACAAAUAGCCAUCGCAUCUUGAUAGUUGUUAAGCAUAUAUCUAAGGCUUCCUGUGUAUGAGCUAGGUAAUAUUACUUUCUUGCCUAUGUUAUCAGCAUCAUGAUCAUCUUUUGAUACAGCGUCAUAAAUGCCUUUAUACACCUCACUUCGUAAGCUUUUUUGGUUUUUUCUAAUAUAAUCCAAUCGAUCCUCUUCAAGUGUUGCAUAAGCAUCUACCAAAAAUUGUUGAAAAAGUCUUCCUCCUUUUAACAAUGUAUCUAAUUGAGACUCCCUUUCUUGAAUUUGAUAGGCUAUAAAUGCUCUCAUAGUUACUCUGCCUCUUUUACAUGGGCGAUUGUUUGAGGGGAUAUUCAAUUUCAAAUCAAGUCUGUAUCCAUCUUCACCAUAUGGAAAAAGAAUGGGAUAUUGUAAAGACAUAAAUUUUGGAUUUAAUUUUGUCACACGUUUUAGUUCACCAUCUUUAAACUCUAUGACAAUAUCUCUAUUUGAGUCAAAUUGACCAAUAUCACCCACUAUUAAACUAGCGAUUUCAUCACAUGUAGGCUGUCCAUAUUGUUUAUCAUCAUUUAACUGCCUACCCAAUAUAGUUAUUUUCAAAGAAGGGAGAGAAUUGUUUUCAAAUUUAUCUCUAAUUGUUCGAAACACUUGAACCAAUUCAUUUGAUUCAUUGAACAUGUUGAUCAGACCCUUGACAAUAUUCUCAUCAAGCUUCAUAUUUGUUUCCUUACAAUUAAUAGCAUUGAAACGAUUUCCAAUUUCAUUAGCAGUAUCAUACACAUAUAGUUGAGCAAACUUUGGGCAUUCACCAUCAGGGGGUAACAAAGAGCCCAUUAAAUGAUGCACUUGACCACUAAUUUUAAAAAUGUACGGGCCUAACUGAUUGUUAACCGUGUGAUCAACUUUAGCUCCCAUUGAAGUAAAUGCAAACAUUGAAUUAUAAGCUCUAAUGUUCUCUCUAAACAAUAAGCUUGUUUGGCCUUUCGUUGGGUCAAGCAAAUUUUCUAAAAAGUGAGGAGUAAGCAUUGGACGUGGGAGCUUGACUUUUCCUUGUUGGCAACAAAGAGAAUAAAGGGGCUCAUUAUUCUUGGACUUCUGCUUUAAAGACUCUUUUAUCCAAAAAAGUGCACCACAAUAGAUGCACUUAUACUUUUUGUCUCCCAAAUCCACAUAUUUCUGAACAUUUCCUAUUGAAAAAAGGUGAAAAAAGAAGGGGAAAAAAAGUCAACCUAUUAGAAGCAAAGUCAUAAAUACAUAACCAACCCAAAGAAAUUGUACGUUAAAAAGAUAGUUUACCUUUUUUAUUUUUCUGAAAAUUGGCUUGACCUUUACUAAUUUGAUUCGGAUUAUCAAAUGUAUCGACAUUGACAGUGGUUUGAACUGUGUUUGUACUUGUUGAACACACAUUGUCAACAUUUUUUUGUCUUUCGUUUUCAGAUUCAAAGCCUGGUUUAUCACAAACUUGUAUGCCACUGGAAGAACCAACAAUAUGGUCGUCUUUUCGUCUUUUGUUCUGAGGUUCAAAGCCUGGAUUAUCACAAACUUGUAUACCACUGGAAGAACCAACGAUAUGGCCUUCUCGUAGCAUUCUAUUCAGUUUGGUAUUUCUAGACCUUGUUAACAUGGCUUGAAAAAAGUUUAAACUCCAAACAACAGAUAAUGGGCUGAGAACCCUAGGAAAAGAAGUCAAUUAUUAAAUACUUGACAAUAUGUAAUCUACAAUCAACCAAAACAAACACAUAAAAGUUACAUUUCGAAACUAUUAUGCAAAAACCAACCCUAAUAAUGAUUCAGAAAACCUUAGUUGAUUAUCUUUUAUGAUUGAAACUACACUACAAAAUGUUAAAUCCUUAUGUAGACAUGCAAUCCAAAACAAAGACAAAUUUGAAAGAUUUGAGCCUUACCUAACCACGGAUGAAACAAAGGCGUAGAAAUAAGAUAUGCAAUUGGAUUUCAACCGUAGCAGCUACUGCUUUCUGAAUUCAAAGCUGGGAAUUGAAGAAAAUAGAAUACAUUUAAAGUCAUGCAAUUCAAAUUGCAAACAAAGAGCUAAAUUCUCAAACAUGCAAUCCAAUCAAUAAGAUUGUCCUCACAGAUUAUUAUAAUUUAAUUACCAAAAGAUUAUGGUAAAGUUGUAAAUAAAUAGAUUGCAACAUAUUUAGAAAACACUUGAAGAGAAACAAUUUUAAACAUUAGCUUUUAUCAAAUCGAUCUUUGAUUGAUAUCUUAUGAUCUAACUGGAAAAAAAAGGUUUAACAGAACAUGAGGCCUACAAUAGUGAACUUUCAUGCUCCUUUAAAACAAUGCAAAAAGAUCUCUCCCUAUAUUUAGAAAAUAAUUUAGGACUUUUGUGCUCAAAUUAAUAACAAAAUUUAUUAAUAUAGGUAUUAAGGAUUAAUUAACCUUGGCUAUCAAAAAAAGAAAAACCCAAAACUAAAAUCAUAUAUGGGUUGAGAAUCCUUAAUUUAUUAAGAUCAGAGACCCAUUAAUACAGCUAUGUCUCAUUAGAAACUAAGAGAGACAGACAGAGGGGGAACUCUGACUAUUGUCACUUCGGCCAACAUGCAAGAUUUAUUAGAAUUAGAGAUCCAUUAGUACAACUAUGUCUUAGUCCAAUACUAUUUUUUUUUAUUUGGCAUUAAUAGAGAAGACUGAAAACUUCAAAUUAAAAAGAUUAGACAAAUAAAUUUGAAAAGGAUAAAGAUUUUAGAGAGAAAGUGAGGAGAAAGAGAAAUAGGGGGAGACCUUGGGUGAACAGGUGAUUGCCGAUUUCAUUGGGGGAGUACCUUAAUGCAGUUUUUCACAAUUUUUCUGCAAGCCCUGUAUCAACAAUUAAACGGAUAAACACAACAUGACUGAAGGACAAAAAUCGGAACAAAAAACAACCUAAUUUCGAGACAAACCUGAGUGGCAAGCAAAAGCGCCAGUUUUUUUUUUUUUUUUUUUUUUUUUUUUUUUUUUGGUAAUGGCCAAGCUACUGAUAUAUGAGGGUGUGGCACCUGUGAGAAACGAUAAGAAUCCAAUUUUUAGAGAAGUAUAUGAAAUGUUACGCUCUACACCACACAAUUGCACAAUGCACACAUGCAUUUGUUAAACAACAUAUCGUAAUUGUAAAGAUUUUUGUCAUGUUUUUCAGAUCAACUAAAAAUGUCAAUAAAAUACAUGGAGGGGGGUGUGGAUAAACCAAACAACAAAUAAAAAAAAAAAAAAUGAGGAUGUUUGAUGAGAUUUGAAGUCAAUUAGUUAUAUGGCAGGCCUAGAUUUCCGUCAGUUGCUCAGGUAGUGGAAAAUAACAUGCGAACUAAUUCAAUAAUUUCAUGUUUGACACUUUGUCGGUGCCCAAGCGAAGAACUAAUGAGAGAAUCAAAGUAGAGAGAGACUAUGUGUACCUGAAUUGAGUUCAGAGGCAAAAUCCUUGACCCAACCUCGGGUAUCUGAAUCUUAAUGUUGAAGAACCCUUCGGCGCACACGGUUCCUUCUGUGCCUUUAAUCUCUGCAUCAAAGCAAAGCAAAGCAAAAAACAAAAAAAAAAUUUCUUAUUAAAUUAUUAUUUUUUCUCGGAAACCAAACGAUGGGUUAGAAAAAUCUGGAAAGAGGUCAAAUUGGGAAGCUUUGCCCGCGUCGAUGGUGAUGAGGAUGAACCCAAAAAAUUAGCAAAAUUUUUUCUAACCCACAAAAUCAAGUUUUUUUCUGAAGUCUAAUUAUAUCAAAUCACAUAUUUGAACAGAUUUGGACAUAUAAUAGGUGUAGAAAGUACCUGUGGUGAUGAGGAAUAGAUGAUGAUGAUGUGGGUUUUUUCAAUUGGAAAGAUUUGGAGCAAAAUUGCUGCUGAAAUUUAGGGAAGAGAGAUCUAGAAGGUUUUCAAUUCGAAUAGAAGUCGAUCAGAAAAGACGAAAUCACGGAGAAAGCAGAGAUGGAAGAGAUCACGAAGCAAAUAUCGAAGAACACGAAGCAGAGAUCGAAGAGGGCGAUGGAAAAUGGAGGAGUUUGGAAGAGGAGACAAAAAACUAAAGCAAAGUAAAAGCAGAGAAAAAAGAGAUGGGUAAAGUGACACGCGUCCCAAUCAACACGUGUCACUAUGCUAAGCUGCCAGGUGACAAAAUCAAAAGAAAGAAGUCUCCCGAACAAUCCAGUUUUUCUGCUCCUUCAAUUUCAGGCGCAACCGAAAUAAAAGAAUCCUGUUGCACGGCAGGGACGAAAAUGCCAUUCUACUGUAGAAUGAACAGUGAUGACAGAAACAAAGAAAGAGCAAAAAAGAAUACAAAAGGAAUGUUCAGGAGAGAAUCCUGAUUCUAACCGGUAAUCCUAGAAGCUCAAGUUCUCAGGCCAUUACCAAUUCAAUUUCGCCACGGCAUCAUAUUCGUCCGCAUAUUCCAAAGCGCUACACCUAUAUAUAUUUCUAACUCGCUCUCUCUCUCACACUACCUUCCCUCGAUCAGCUUUCUUAUCUGCCUCUCUCUCUAGACAAUACUUUCUCUCUCUACAACCAUCAUGGGUAUUGAUCUAUUGAUCUCGAUUCUCAAUUAUUGAUUUCGAUUUCGCCAUUUUUGUUGCAGAUCUUGUGUUUUUUUUUUUUGUUGUUGAUUUUUCUGUAAUUUUUUUGUGUUUUUCUGACCGUUUGUGUGUUGUGCUUGUUUGUAUCGAUCAGCAACAUCUGGCAAGAAGAACAAGAUCGGAAUCAACGGUGAUGAUCAGAUCCAUCGCUCCUUGAGUUUUAAUUUUUGGUAUGUUCUUUUGUGAUUUGAUCUGUGAAUUGAUUGAGAUUUGAAUUGAAAUGGUUUAGGAUUACUUGUGGCUGCCAACGAUCCCUUUGAACUUGUGGCUGCCAACGAUCCCUUUGAACUUGUGGCUGCCAACGAUCCCUUCAUCACCACCGAUCCCAUGGUGAGUUAUUUACUUGAAGUUUUUGUGUUAUUUUGUCGGGUUUUCAGAUUUAGGGUUUUUGGUUUCGGAUUUGAUUGGUGAUUUGUGUGAUUGUUUUUGUGUUUAGACCUACAUGUCCAAGUACGACACAGCCCAGCGUCCAUGGAUGCAACAUGAGUUCAAGGUCAACUACUCCAAGACCCUUGUCUUCCCUGAGAAGCCCGUCAAGACCUCCUCCGCGCACCAUGAGCUCAAGGUCAACUACUCCAAGACCCUUGUCUUCCGUGAGAUGCCCGUCAAGACCUCCUCUGCGCCCAUCAAGACCUCGUCCAAGACCAAGGCAAAUGAGACAAAGAGAAGUGGGCCUCUGCGCACCCAAGACAAGAAGAAUUCCCGUGUUUACAAGACCAAGGCAAAUGAGAUAAAGAAGUGAGCCCCCUCGCACCCAAGACAAGAAGAAUUCCCGUGUUUACAAAUUUCCAAAGUGUUGAGUGUCUCUAGGCUUGCUUUUCAAGUGUUAUGGUUUGGAGUUCAGAAUAAGAAGUGUUAUCUUGUUUCCUGUUGGAGUUUUCUAAUUUUUAUGCAAGUUUGAAUAUAAAGGCAAAAUUGAUGGGGUUGUCGUAUGGAAUGUGUUUCUCUUAUUUUGCUUCUACCCUCGAUUCCUUGUUUGUUAUUUUGCUUUCUAUUAUUCUCUUUGGUUAGCUUAAGCAUUGUGAUGUUUGCCAACCCGAAGACAAUUAACAGUGUUUGAUUUCAAGCCCGAUUCUCUUCGGGUAGGCAAAACAUAUAUUGUAGAGAAGCGGCAAGUUUAUUAUGCUGAGUUUAAUAGAUCAUUGCAGCUAUGCCAGCUGAGGUGGUUUAUUCCUUAUCAACUGCAGUCUACACUGUCG